UUCCUAAAGAAUUAAUUUUAGGUAUAUUCUGCCCAAUGAAGCUUAAAUGGCUGCGUUUGCACUAAGGUAGCAUAAUAAAUUGUUCCUUAAUUAGGAGCUGGAAUGAAUGAAUGAAUGGGGGGAAUUUUUCUUGGAAUUGAUUAAUAGAAUUUAAAUUUUUAGUAAAAAUGCUAAAAUAUAGAUUAGGGACAAGAAGACCCUAUGAAGCUUUAUAAUUUUGAAUUGAUUAAAUUAUUGUGUUGGGGCAACACUCUAAGAUCUAAGUUUAGAGGGUUAAUGGAGAUUAAUUUAUAUUUUUAUGAGCCAUAAGUUAUGAGCAUCUGAUUAAGUUACUCUAGGGAUAACAGCAUUAUUUAAAUUGGAAAGUUCAAAUUGAAAAUUUAGUUUAUGACCUCGAUGUUGAAUUAAUAUAACUUUUAGGUGAAGGAAUUUAGAAAGUUAGUCUGUUCGACUAUUAAAUUAUUACA
Molecule: ribosomal RNA, 467 nt
Filed under: Stylocellus sp. Java 6
Lineage: Eukaryota; Metazoa; Arthropoda; Arachnida; Opiliones; Stylocellidae
Description: partial 16S ribosomal RNA
Rfam family: Bacterial large subunit ribosomal RNA
Source: RNAcentral